UACGGAGGGUGCAAGCGUUGUUCGGAAUUACUGGGCGUAAAGCGGGUGUAGGCGGCCGCACAAGUCAGAUGUGAAAUCCCUGGGCCCAACCCAGGAACUGCAUUUGAUACUGCGUGGCUCGAGUCCCGGAGAGGAUGGCGGAAUUCCAGGUGUAGAGGUGAAAUUCGUAGAUAUCUGGAGGAACACCAGCGGCGAAGGCGGCCAUCUGGACGGUGACUGACGCUCAGACCCGAAAGCGUCGGGAGCAAACAUG
This 253-nucleotide ribosomal RNA is filed under the name uncultured bacterium. RNAcentral's name for it is "partial 16S ribosomal RNA". It matches the Rfam family "Bacterial small subunit ribosomal RNA", at positions 524 to 776 of the family's 1533-position model. The record is from RNAcentral.